AUGGGAACCCCUGGGUCACCUCAGUCAGCUGCCGAGGACAAGGCCGGCCCCCCAGCCACUCAGGAGGUGACGCAGUUUUGGAAGGACAUCCAUCCGGGCCAGGGCCCCUACCCGACUCGGAUCAUCUCAGAGCCAGACGCCAGGCUAGCUUCGGGCUGGCUGGGAGCGGCGGGACCCGGACGGCCAGGCCUCGAUGGGCCCCCCGGCAACCACCAGGCGCGGCCUCCAGCCUCUGCUGGAGCCCACCAGCCCCACGGUGUCCAGCGGCCCACCCAGCCCAGAGGAGCACGUGCUUCUCUGGGCCGUCCUGUGAAGGCCGCGGAGGUGAAGGAGCAGGGGAGGACCGCCCGGGAGGACGGGGGCAGGGGGCGGGGGCUGGGAAGCCCUGGGACCUCUGCCCGGCCGUGUCCCCUGGCCCAGGCUCCUGGCCCUGCUCCGCGGUCCCCGCGCGCCAGGAGCCAGGCAGCCGGAAAAUGUGAGUGUCAGCACGGCGACGCCACAUUCCUGAGGUCUCUCUCCCGGCCUCGGGGCUGCCGCCCCCGCCUCGGCCCAGCCCGCAAAGCCACACUGGUGGGUCCUGGGCUGUCCUGCCCGCCCCCAGCGGCUCAUCCCUGGAACGCCCUCCUGCCAGCCAGCCGCGGCUUUGGCUGCCCCAGAGGCCCCCCGGCUGGGCCAAGGCUUUCAAGUGUGUUCCCAGGGGGCCUGCGAGGCUGCCGCUGCCUCCAGAGGGCUGGGUAUUUUGGGGGACAUCCCCUAAAGGAAAACAGGGCAGGAAUGCUGGAGGCUGAGCAUCCUGUCCCUGAGGCUUGGGUGUGGCCCUUGGAGCCAGGCAGAGCAGAAGGGGAGGGAAGAGGCCACAGAGGACAAGCGGGAGCCGGCGGGCGGACGGCCCCGGGCGGGGCACAGGGACGUCCCUCCGAGGUGGCCUGUCCCUCAGCGAAGCUGCUCACCUCUUGGGCCUCCUUCUCUCGUCUGCAGGGUGGACAACGAGGCGUGCAGGGCGGGGCCAGGAUGACCGCACUGUCCGCCGUGUCCUCCUCCGUCGUCCCCUGCGUGCUGGUCCGGGGGUGUCUCCUCUCCUUCUCAUGGAGGCCUGUGGGGCUCAGGGCCAGGCUUCCUGUGCACCCCCAAGAGAGCCAGGAGCAGAAAUCCGAGUCCAGAAAGAAUGAUGCUAGGGCACCCUCGACCCCAAGAAGCUCUGGGGCCCCCUAA
This is a long non-coding RNA of Bos indicus x Bos taurus (hybrid cattle), 1212 nucleotides long. NCBI's taxonomy places the organism in Eukaryota, Metazoa, Chordata, Mammalia, Artiodactyla, Bovidae. The record is from Ensembl.